Molecule: transfer RNA, 88 nt
Rfam family: tRNA
About the family: Transfer RNA (tRNA) molecules are approximately 80 nucleotides in length. Their secondary structure includes four short double-helical elements and three loops (D, anti-codon, and T loops).
UCCUCGAUGGUCUAGUGGUGAUGAUUUCCGCUUGUCAUUUGAAAUGCGUCAAGCGCGGGAGACCAGGGUUCGAUUCCCUGUCGGGGAG